AGAAUCAACGCUGGCGGCGUGCCUAACACAUGCAAGUCGCACGAGAAAGGGACUUCGGUCCUGAGUACAGUGGCGCACGGGUGAGUAACACGUGAAUCAUCUACCUUCGAGUGGGGAAUAACUGAGAGAAAUCUUAGCUAAUACCGCAUAAUACCUACGGGUCAAAGCAGCAAUGCGCUUGAAGAGGAGUUCGCGGCAGAUUAGUUAGUUGGCGGGGUAAUGGCCCACCAAGACGAUGAUCUGUA
Molecule: ribosomal RNA, 245 nt
Filed under: uncultured bacterium
Lineage: Bacteria
Description: partial small subunit ribosomal RNA
Rfam family: Bacterial small subunit ribosomal RNA
Source: RNAcentral